RNAcentral lists this ribosomal RNA (465 nucleotides) under uncultured bacterium. RNAcentral's name for it is "partial 16S ribosomal RNA". It matches the Rfam family "Bacterial small subunit ribosomal RNA", at positions 28 to 507 of the family's 1533-position model. The record is from RNAcentral.
GACGAACGCUGGCGGCGUGCUUAACACAUGCAAGUCGAACGGAAAGGCCCCUUCGGGGGUACUCGAGUGGCGAACAGGUGAGUAACACGUGAGUAACCUGCCCUUGACUUCGGGAUAACUUCAGGAAACUGGGGCUAAUACCGGAUAGGAAUCCUUGCUGCAUGGUGGGGGUUGGAAAGCUUCGGCGGUUUUGGAUGGACUCGCGGCGUAUCAGCUUGUUGGUGGGGUAGUGGCUUACCAAGGCUUUGACGGGUAGCCGGCCUGAGAGGGCGACCGGCCACAUUGGGACUGAGACACGGACAAGACUCCUACGGGAGGCAGAAGUGGGGAAUAUUGAAAAAUGGGAGGAAGCGCGAUGCAGAAACGCCGCGUGCGGGAUGACGGCCUACGGGUUGUAAACCGCUUUCAGCAGGGGCGAAGCUUGUGGUGACGGUACCUGCAGAAGAAGCACCGGCUAACUACGUG